ACAACCCUUUUGUGCGUGGGAUCUCGAGCACGCGUCAUGAGUUUUUGGCGCCCCCUGCGCGAGAAAGCGCGUUUGAAGAAGA
This 82-nucleotide small nucleolar RNA is filed under the name Trypanosoma cruzi. RNAcentral describes it as "H/ACA snoRNA, TC10C4H1". The record is from RNAcentral. Lineage: Eukaryota; Euglenozoa; Kinetoplastea; Trypanosomatida; Trypanosomatidae.